AGUGAACGCUGGCGGCGUGCUUAACACAUGCAAGUCGAACGAGAACGGAAUAUAGCUUGCUAUAUUUGUCAGCUAAGUGGCGCACGGGUGAGUAAUGUAUAGAUAACCUGCCCUUAAGAAAGGAAUAACAGUUGGAAACGACUGCUAACGCCCUAUAUGCCUUUAAUACAUAAGUAUGCAAGGGAAACGCUUUAGUGCUUAAGGAUGGGUCUGUAUGGUAUCAGCUUGUUGGUGAGGUAAUGGCUCACCAAGGCUAUGACGCCUAACUGGUUUGAGAGGAUGAUCAGUCACACUGGAAUUGAGACACGGUCCAGACUCCUACGGGAGGCAGCAGUGGGGAAUAUUGCACAAUGGACGAAAGUCUGAUGCAGCAACGCCGCGUGGAGGAUGACACAUCUCGGUGCGUAAACUCCUUUUAUAUAGGAAGAUAAUGACGGUACUAUAUGAAUAAGCACCGGCUAACUCCGUGCCAGCCGCCGCCGUAA
This 485-nucleotide ribosomal RNA is filed under the name uncultured bacterium. RNAcentral's name for it is "partial 16S ribosomal RNA". It matches the Rfam family "Bacterial small subunit ribosomal RNA", at positions 29 to 523 of the family's 1533-position model. The record is from RNAcentral.